UCUUCAAUGUAUGGACCCAAC
RNAcentral lists this non-coding RNA (21 nucleotides) under Caenorhabditis elegans. Lineage: Eukaryota; Metazoa; Nematoda; Chromadorea; Rhabditida; Rhabditidae. The record is from RNAcentral.